RNAcentral lists this ribosomal RNA (375 nucleotides) under uncultured bacterium. RNAcentral's name for it is "bacterial SSU rRNA". It matches the Rfam family "Bacterial small subunit ribosomal RNA", at positions 521 to 896 of the family's 1533-position model. The record is from RNAcentral.
UAAUACGAAGGGGGCUAGCGUUGUUCGGAAUUACUGGGCGUAAAGCGCGCGCAGGCGGCUCUUCAAGUCAGGGGUGAAAGCCCAGAGCUCAACUCUGGAACUGCCUUUGAGACUGUAGAGCUUGAGUACGGGAGAGGUGAGUGGAAUUCCCAGUGUAGAGGUGAAAUUCGUAGAUAUUGGGAAGAACACCGGUGGCGAAGGCGGCUCACUGGCCCGUUUCUGACGCUCAGGCGCGACAGCGUGGGGAUCAAACAGGAUUAGAUACCCUGGUAGUCCACGCCGUAAACUAUGAACGCUAGCCGUUGGCAGGCUUGCCUGUCAGUGGCGCAGCUAACGCAUUAAGCGUUCCGCCUGGGGAGUACGGCCGCAAGGUUG